This 35-nucleotide non-coding RNA is filed under the name unclassified sequences. Its description in RNAcentral is "DUF805b RNA". It matches the Rfam family "DUF805b RNA". From Rfam's summary of the family: Bacteroidetes, Chlorobi (1 example), Proteobacteria. Lineage (Flavobacteria) The record is from RNAcentral.
UUAGGGAAAGCCCAAAACCUAUAAAAGAGUAGGCA